RNAcentral lists this ribosomal RNA (198 nucleotides) under uncultured bacterium. RNAcentral describes it as "partial 16S ribosomal RNA". It matches the Rfam family "Bacterial small subunit ribosomal RNA", at positions 328 to 539 of the family's 1533-position model. The record is from RNAcentral.
ACGCUCGACACCUACGUGAGGCAGCAGUGGGGAAUAUUGCACAAUGGGGGAAACCCUGAUGCAGCGACGCCGCGUGAGCGAAGAAGUAUCUCGGUAUGUAAAGCUCUAUCAGCAGGGAAGAAGAUGACGGUACCUGACUAAGAAGCACCGGCUAAAUACGUGCCACCAGCCGCGGUAAUCUGAGCGGGCUGGCAAGGC